CGGGUGAGUACAACAUAGGAAAUCUGCCUUAGGGUGGGGGACAACAGAGGGAAACUUCUGCUAAUACCCCAUAUGAGCUUGGUUGAAAUACCAAUCUUGAAAGUUCCGGCGCCCUAAGAUGAGCCUGUGCCUGAUUAGCUAGUUGGUGGUGUAAUGGACUACCAAGGCGACGAUCAGUAGCUGGUUUGAGGGGAUGAUCAGCCACAAUGGGACUGAGACACGGCCCAUACUCCUACGGAAGGCAGCAG
This 248-nucleotide ribosomal RNA is filed under the name uncultured bacterium. RNAcentral describes it as "partial 16S ribosomal RNA". It matches the Rfam family "Bacterial small subunit ribosomal RNA", at positions 103 to 354 of the family's 1533-position model. The record is from RNAcentral.